This 253-nucleotide ribosomal RNA is filed under the name uncultured bacterium. RNAcentral describes it as "partial 16S ribosomal RNA". It matches the Rfam family "Bacterial small subunit ribosomal RNA", at positions 524 to 776 of the family's 1533-position model. The record is from RNAcentral.
UACGGAGGCGGCAAACGUUGCUCGGAAUCAUUGGGCGUAAAGCGCACGUAGGCGGCCCGGUAAGCCGGAUGUGAAAGCCCUCGGCUCAACUGAGGAAGUGCAUUAGAAACUGCUGGACUUGAGUACGGGAGAGGGAUGCGGAAUUCCCGGUGUAGAAGUGAAAUUCGUAGAUAUCGGGAGGAACCCAAGUGGCGAAGGCGGCAUCCUGGACCGAUACUGACGCUGAGGUGCGAAAGCGUGGGGAGCAAACAGG